GCCCUGGUAGCUCAGUGGUAAGAGCUUGGCUGCUAACCAAAAGGUCUGCAGUUUGAAUCUACCAGUGGCU
Molecule: transfer RNA, 70 nt
Filed under: Loxodonta africana (African savanna elephant)
Lineage: Eukaryota; Metazoa; Chordata; Mammalia; Proboscidea; Elephantidae
Rfam family: tRNA
About the family: Transfer RNA (tRNA) molecules are approximately 80 nucleotides in length. Their secondary structure includes four short double-helical elements and three loops (D, anti-codon, and T loops).
Source: Rfam by way of RNAcentral